This 253-nucleotide ribosomal RNA is filed under the name uncultured bacterium. Its description in RNAcentral is "partial 16S ribosomal RNA". It matches the Rfam family "Bacterial small subunit ribosomal RNA", at positions 524 to 776 of the family's 1533-position model. The record is from RNAcentral.
UACGAGGGGGGCUAGCGUUGUUCGGAAUCACUGGGCGUAAAGCGCACGUAGGCGGAGUGUUAAGUCGGGGGUGAAAUCCUGAGGCUCAACCUCAGAACUGCCUUCGAUACUGGCAUUCUCGAGUCCGGAAGAGGUUGGUGGAACAGCUAGUGUAGAGGUGAAAUUCGUAGAUAUUAGCUAGAACACCAGUGGCGAAGGCGGCCAACUGGUCCGGUACUGACGCUGAGGUGCGAAAGCGUGGGGAGCAAACAGG